This 429-nucleotide ribosomal RNA is filed under the name Gemmatimonadota bacterium. RNAcentral's name for it is "Gemmatimonadetes bacterium partial 16S ribosomal RNA". It matches the Rfam family "Bacterial small subunit ribosomal RNA", at positions 355 to 776 of the family's 1533-position model. The record is from RNAcentral. Lineage: Bacteria; Pseudomonadati; Gemmatimonadota.
UAGGGAAUCUUCGGCAAUGGACGAAAGUCUGACCGAGCAACGCCGCGUGCGUGAAGAAGGUUUUCGGAUCGUAAAACUCUGUUGUUAGAGAAGAACAAGGACGUUAGUAACUGAACGUCCCCUGACGGUAUCUAACCAGAAAGCCACGGCUAACUACGUGCCAGCAGCCGCGGUAAUACGUAGGUGGCAAGCGUUGUCCGGAUUUAUUGGGCGUAAAGCGAGCGCAGGCGUUUUCUUAAGUCUGAUGUGAAAGCCCCCGGCUCAACCGGGGAGGGUCAUUGGAAACUGGGAGACUUGAGUGCAGAAGAGGAGAGUGGAAUUCCAUGUGUAGCGGUGAAAUGCGUAGAUAUAUGGAGGACCACCAGUGGCGAAGGCGGCUCUCUGGUCUGUAACUGACGCUGAGGCUCGAAAGCGUGGGGAGCAAACAGG